This is a non-coding RNA of Chelonoidis abingdonii (Abingdon island giant tortoise), 106 nucleotides long. NCBI's taxonomy places the organism in Eukaryota, Metazoa, Chordata, Testudines, Testudinidae. The record is from RefSeq and is a predicted model, not a curated record.
CUUAUUUUCUAGAUGUGUGCAAAUUGAUUGGUUAUUCGCUUCAUUAUCUUUCCGGAUAUAGAAGUUAAGCUGACUGAUCUGUAAUUCCCUGGGUUGUCCUUAUUUC